Molecule: long non-coding RNA, 761 nt
Organism: Lagenorhynchus albirostris (white-beaked dolphin)
Lineage: Eukaryota; Metazoa; Chordata; Mammalia; Artiodactyla; Delphinidae
Exons: 5
Source: RefSeq, a predicted model, not a curated record
UCCUCCCGAUAAAAGUGUUCUUCUUCCCUUGCUGGGCAGGGGCUUGCAAGCGGCUCGCUAUGGAUGCAGGCACUGUGUUGCAAUUCUCUGCCGAUACCAAAUAAACCCGUCUUUGCUGGAGAAAUAUCUGGGAGUCUGUUUGUUUCAGGUCAACAAGAGGUGAAGGAGCAGCGCUUCAUGAGAACAGAAACAGCAGGCUGCAGGUGACGAGCCCUCACUCAGGCUCAGGUGCUGGGCAGGACCCUGAGGCUCAGAGAAGUUAACUUGUUCAAGGGGACACAGGUAUGAAGUAGCAAAGCCUGAAUCUACACCCAACUCAACUCCAGAGCCUGCAUUCCUAACCACUGCAUCCUUUUGGAAAAUGUCAAGUUCAUACUCCAGAGAGGCUCACCGCGGCCAAGGCCAGCGCAGAGAAGGGCGUGUCCUCGGCAGGUUUCACCACUACCGUGCAGCCUGCUGCCAGGGCGGCCCCCACCUUCCUCGUGAUCAUGGCGCUGGGGAAGUUCCACUGGAUCAGAAGAGAAAGGAGUGCCAUGACAGUCCUGGCCUGACCAUGUAGGGACAAAAAACCCAAAGUGGAGGCGGAAACGUGAUAACUACUCAAGAAAGACAAAGAAGGUCUUCCCCCCUCCCCUCUCUUCCUUUGAUUACAAAAAUGUAACCCACUAAGUACUUGGGGCAGCGCACUGCUUGCCUGCCCGCUUGUAGGCCUCGCAAGCAACCUAUUCUAAUAAAUCACUUUAAAAAAAAAAUAAAUUUAU